Molecule: ribosomal RNA, 253 nt
Filed under: uncultured bacterium
Lineage: Bacteria
Description: partial 16S ribosomal RNA
Rfam family: Bacterial small subunit ribosomal RNA
Source: RNAcentral
UACGUAGGGGGCUAGCGUUGUCCGGAAUCAUUGGGCGUAAAGAGCGUGUAGGCGGCCCGGUAAGUCCGCUGUGAAAGUCGGGGGCUCAACCCUCGAAUGCCGGUGGAUACUGUCGGGCUAGAGUGCGGAAGAGGCGAGUGGAAUUCCUGGUGUAGCGGUGAAAUGCGCAGAUAUCAGGAGGAACACCAAUGGCGAAGGCAGCUCGCUGGGACGUAACUGACGCUGAGACGCGAAAGCGUGGGGAGCAAACAGG